Molecule: unclassified non-coding RNA, 300 nt
Organism: Cebus imitator (Panamanian white-faced capuchin)
Lineage: Eukaryota; Metazoa; Chordata; Mammalia; Primates; Cebidae
Rfam family: Metazoan signal recognition particle RNA
About the family: The signal recognition particle (SRP) is a universally conserved ribonucleoprotein. It is involved in the co-translational targeting of proteins to membranes.
Source: Ensembl
AGCCUGAUACUCGCACCUGAUACUCAGGUAGUCCCAGAUACUCAGGAGCCUGAGGCAGGAGGAUCACUUGAGCCAAGGAGUUCUGGGCUGUAGUGCGCUAUGCCAAUCAGUGUCCACACUAAGUUAGGCAUCAAUUUGGUGACCUCCAGGGAGUGAGGGACCACCAGCUUGUCUAAGGAGGGGUGACCCGGCCCAGGUAAGAAAGGGAGCAGGUCAAAAUUCCUGUGCUGAUCAGUAGUGGGAUGGCGCCUGUGAAUAGCCACUGCACUCCAGCCCAGGCAACACAGCAACGCCAUCACU